RNAcentral lists this ribosomal RNA (263 nucleotides) under Clostridioides difficile. RNAcentral describes it as "partial 16S ribosomal RNA". It matches the Rfam family "Bacterial small subunit ribosomal RNA", at positions 1 to 252 of the family's 1533-position model. Lineage: Bacteria; Bacillati; Bacillota; Clostridia; Peptostreptococcales; Peptostreptococcaceae. The record is from RNAcentral.
UUAUUGGAGAGUUUGAUCCUGGCUCAGGAUGAACGCUGGCGGCGUGCCUAAUACAUGCAAGUCGAGCGAAUGGAUUAAGAGCUUGCUCUUAUGAAGUUAGCGGCGGACGGGUGAGUAACACGUGGGUAACCUGCCCAUAAGACUGGGAUAACUCCGGGAAACCGGGGCUAAUACCGGAUAAUAUUUUGAACCGCAUGGUUCGAAAUUGAAAGGCGGCUUCGGCUGUCACUUAUGGAUGGACCCGCGUCGCAUUAGCUAGUUGG